RNAcentral lists this ribosomal RNA (1269 nucleotides) under metagenome. Its description in RNAcentral is "bacterial SSU rRNA". It matches the Rfam family "Bacterial small subunit ribosomal RNA", at positions 8 to 1274 of the family's 1533-position model. The record is from RNAcentral.
AGAGUUUGAUCCUGGCUCAGGAUGAACGCUAGCGGCAGGCCUAACACAUGCAAGUCGAACGGUAACAGGGAGAAGCUUGCUUUUCCGCUGACGAGUGGCGCACGGGUGCGUAACGCGUAUACAAUCUACCUUUUACAGAGGGAUAGCCCAGAGAAAUUUGGAUUAAUACCUCAUAGUAUCCAGACACCGCAUGGCCGUCUGGAUUAAAGUUUCGGCGGUAAGAGAUGAGUAUGCGUUCUAUUAGCUAGUAGGUAGGGUAACGGCUUACCUAGGCAACGAUAGAUAGGGGCCCUGAGAGGGGGAUCCCCCACACUGGUACUGAGACACGGACCAGACUCCUACGGGAGGCAGCAGUGAGGAAUAUUGGACAAUGGGCGCAAGCCUGAUCCAGCCAUGCCGCGUGCAGGAAGACUGCCCUAUGGGUUGUAAACUGCUUUUAUACAGGAAGAAACGCCUCUACGUGUAGAGGUUUGACGGUACUGUAAGAAUAAGGAUCGGCUAACUCCGUGCCAGCAGCCGCGGUAAUACGGAGGAUCCAAGCGUUAUCCGGAAUCAUUGGGUUUAAAGGGUCCGUAGGUGGAUAAUUAAGUCAGAGGUGAAAUCCUGCAGCUCAACUGUAGAAUUGCCUUUGAUACUGGUUAUCUUGAGUUAUUAUGAAGUAGUUAGAAUACGUAGUGUAGCGGUGAAAUGCAUAGAUAUUACAUAGAAUACCAAUUGCGAAGGCAGAUUACUAAUAAUCAACUGACACUGAUGGACGAAAGCGUGGGGAGCGAACAGGAUUAGAUACCCUGGUAGUCCACGCCGUAAACGAUGGAUACUAGCUGUUCGGAUUUCGGUCUGAGUGGCUAAGCGAAAGUGAUAAGUAUCCCACCUGGGGAGUACGUUCGCAUGAAUGAAACUCAAAGGAAUUGACGGGGGCCCGCACAAGCGGUGGAGCAUGUGGUUUAAUUCGAUGAUACGCGAGGAACCUUACCAGGGCUUAAAUGUAGAGUGACAGGACUAGAGAUAGUUUUUUCUUCGGACACUUUACAAGGUGCUGCAUGGUUGUCGUCAGCUCGUGCCGUGAGGUGUCAGGUUAAGUCCUAUAACGAGCGCAACCCCCAUCUUUAGUUGCCAGCAGUUCGGCUGGGCACUCUAAAGAAACUGCCCGUGAUAAGCGGGAGGAAGGUGUGGAUGACGUCAAGUCCUCAUGGCCCUUACGUCCUGGGCUACACACGUGCUACAAUGGUAGGUACAGAGAGCAGCCACUGCGUGAGCAGGAGCGAAUCU